Vitis riparia (riverbank grape) is the source of this 923-nucleotide long non-coding RNA. RefSeq lists it as uncharacterized. The record is from RefSeq and is a predicted model, not a curated record. The transcript is spliced from 2 exons. Lineage: Eukaryota; Viridiplantae; Streptophyta; Magnoliopsida; Vitales; Vitaceae.
GGGAGUGGCAACAAAUUCUGAGGAAUUUUGAUGGAGGUUGGAGUUGAUGUAUGGAUUUAGGGAGGGAUAUAGAAUACCAAUUGAUUGAGUAACUGAAGAAAUGUUGGAAUGGAACAGGGCCAAAAGUAAUGAUGCAAAGGACAGUGAGAUGAAACGUAAAAGGAAUCCAAAACCCAUGGUUUUAAGGAGAAAUCUAUUGUCUGAUGAAAAACCAGAGAUGGAGGGUAGGGGAGUGACGGAGUGGAGAGAAUGGGAAAAGGGACGCACAAGGGCGGGGUUUCAUUUUCAAAUGGGUGCACCUCCUCCAAUGUGAAAACAAAAUAAUCUCUCUCUCUCCCUCCCUAGAUUUGCCUCUAGAUUCGUGCUCCCUUUGCUCCUUUCCUUAACCUCCAAAGUCCCCACUCUCCCCCGUUCAACCCCACAACUCAAACGCCUUUCGAAACCCUUUGUUUUCUCUCUCUCUCUCUCUCUCUCUCUCUAAAACACACAUAUAAUUUUAGGGUUUUUCUAGUGACCUCUGCAAUUCGAUGUCGAGUCUUCCAUGGCCGUGGGGGGCCUCCGAGGUGUAUCGCAUGCCAGUGCAGUGCGCUGAGAGAUGGUUUGAACACAAAAGGAUUGAAGACAGCAGCAAUGCCUGCUGUGAGAAAUAUGUUUUGUUCCAACAACAUACAUGAAAGAAUUGUUGCAUCAGCGGCAGUUGGAAUUCAUGGAUUGAUAUAUGGCAGGUUUGGGAUAGGGAAUGAAGCCAUUGGUCCGCGUAGCCUUGUGAGAUUUGUAUCAUAUUGACAUCUUCUGUAAAGUAUUUAGCUAUUUUGAAAAUUUUUCGUUCAUAGAUAGAAUGCUGCAACUUAAACAUUUGUUCUCUUUUGGUUUUUGUGCUAUUCUAUAUUUUAAUAUAAUUGGAUCUCCCUCUCAUUCUCGUA